This 460-nucleotide ribosomal RNA is filed under the name uncultured bacterium. Its description in RNAcentral is "partial 16S ribosomal RNA". It matches the Rfam family "Bacterial small subunit ribosomal RNA", at positions 338 to 795 of the family's 1533-position model. The record is from RNAcentral.
CCUACGGUGGGCAGCAGUGAGGAAUAUUGGUCAAUGGACGAGAGUCUGAACCAGCCAAGUAGCGUGAAGGAUGACUGCCCUAUGGGUUGUAAACUUCUUUUAUAUGGGAAUAAACUGUUCCACGUGUGGGCUUUUGUAUGUACCAUAUGAAUAAGGAUCGGCUAACUCCGUGCCAGCAGCCGCGGUCAUCCGGAGGUACCGAGCGUUAUCCGGAUUUAUUGGGUUUCAAGGGAGCGUAGGGGGAUUGUUAAGUCAGUGGUGAAAGUUUGCGGCUCAACCGUAAAAUUGCAGUUGAAACUGGCAGUCUUGAGUACAGUAGAGGUGGGCGGAAUUCGUGGUGUAGCGGUGAAAUGCUUAGAUAUCACGAAGAACUCCGAUUGCGAAGGCAGCUUACUGGACUGCAACUGACACUGAGGCUCGAAAGUGUGGGUAUCAAACAGGAUUAGAUACCCGAGUAGUC